GGGCGUGUAGCUCAGUUGGUAGAGCGUGUCAUUAGCAUGUCCUACUCCUACUUGACAAGGUCUUUGGUUCGAUUCCUAACUCGUCCA
This 87-nucleotide transfer RNA is filed under the name Apiotrichum porosum. RNAcentral describes it as "Trichosporon porosum tRNA". It matches the Rfam family "tRNA". Rfam says of the family: Transfer RNA (tRNA) molecules are approximately 80 nucleotides in length. Lineage: Eukaryota; Fungi; Basidiomycota; Tremellomycetes; Trichosporonales; Trichosporonaceae. The record is from Rfam by way of RNAcentral.